CCAAUAGCGUAUAUUAGAGUUGUUGCAGUUAAAAAGCUCGUAGUUGAAUUUCGGGGUUAGUAGGUUGGUCGUGCCUCAGGUAUGUACUGAUCUCACUGAUUCCUCCUUCCUGAUGAACCGUAAUGCCAUUAAUUUGGUGUUGCGGGGAAACUGGACUGUUACUUUGAAAAAAUUAGAGUGUUUAAAGCAGGCUAACGCUUGAAUACAUUAGCAUGGAAUAAUGAAAUAGGACGUUCGAUCCUAUUUUGUUGGUUUCUAGGAUUGACGUAAUGAUUAAUAGGGAUAGUUGGGGGCAUUAGUAUUCAAUUGUCAGAGGUGAAAUUCUUGGAUUUAUUGAAGACUAACUACUGCGAAAGCAUUUGCCAAGGAUGUUUUCAUUAAUCAAGAACGAAAGUUAGGGGAUCGAAGACGAUCAGAUACCGUCGUAGUCUUAACCAUAAACUAUGCCGACUAGGGAUCGGAUGAUGUUAAUUUUUUAAUGACUCAUUCGGCGCCUUACG
RNAcentral lists this ribosomal RNA (500 nucleotides) under uncultured Glomeromycotina. RNAcentral's name for it is "partial small subunit ribosomal RNA". It matches the Rfam family "Eukaryotic small subunit ribosomal RNA", at positions 591 to 1092 of the family's 1831-position model. Lineage: Eukaryota; Fungi; Glomeromycota. The record is from RNAcentral.